UACAGGGGGUGCAAACGUUGCUCGGAAUCAUUGGGCGUAAAGAGCUCGUAGGUGGCGGGUCACGUCGGGUGUGAAAGCCCGGGGCUUAACUCCGGGUCUGCAUUCGAUACGGGUCUGCUGGGGUCCGGCAGGGGAGACUGGAAUUCCUGGUGUAGCGGUGAAAUGCGCAGAUAUCAGGAGGAACACCGGUGGCGAAGGCGGGUCUCUGGGCCGGUACCGACGCUGAGGAGCGAAAGCGUGGGGAGCGAACAGG
RNAcentral lists this ribosomal RNA (253 nucleotides) under uncultured bacterium. RNAcentral's name for it is "partial 16S ribosomal RNA". It matches the Rfam family "Bacterial small subunit ribosomal RNA", at positions 524 to 776 of the family's 1533-position model. The record is from RNAcentral.